GAUGAACGCUGGCGGCGUGCCUAAUACAUGCAAGUCGAGCGAACAGAUAAGGAGCUUGCUCCUUUGUCGUUAGCGGCGGACGGGUGAGUAACACGUGGGUAACCUACCUAUAAGACUGGGAUAACUUCGGGAAACCGGAGCUAAUACCGGAUAAUAUUUCGAACCGCAUGGUUCGAUAGUGAAAGAUGGUUUUGCUAUCACUUAUAGAUGGACCCGCGCCGUAUUAGCUAGUUGGUAAGGUAACGGCUUACCAAGGCGACGAUACGUAGCCGACCUGAGAGGGUGAUCGGCCACACUGGAACUGAGACACGGUCCAGACUCCUACGGGAGGCAGCAGUAGGGAAUCUUCCGCAAUGGGCGAAAGCCUGACGGAGCAACGCCGCGUGAGUGAUGAAGGUCUUCGGAUCGUAAAACUCUGUUAUUAGGGAAGAACAUACGUGUAAGUAACUGUGCACGUCUUGACGGUACCUAAUCAGAAAGCCACGGCUAACUACGUG
Molecule: ribosomal RNA, 497 nt
Filed under: uncultured bacterium
Lineage: Bacteria
Description: partial 16S ribosomal RNA
Rfam family: Bacterial small subunit ribosomal RNA
Source: RNAcentral